Molecule: RNA transcript, 1714 nt
Organism: Beta vulgaris subsp. vulgaris (sugar beet)
Lineage: Eukaryota; Viridiplantae; Streptophyta; Magnoliopsida; Caryophyllales; Amaranthaceae
Gene name: transcription initiation factor TFIID subunit 10
Exons: 7
Source: RefSeq, a predicted model, not a curated record
AUAUAUAGAAACGUCAACGACGAAACUUAAAUUGGAAAAAUCACAAACUCUGCAGUGCGAGUGUGCGACUGCGGCAGCGAGCAGUAAGCAAGAGCAAAGGGGAAGAAGAUGAACCCACAGACCAGCGAUGGCAGACACGACGAUGAUGCAGCACUCUCCGAAUUUCUUGCUUCUUUAAUGGAUUAUACUCCCACCAUUCCUGAUGAAUUGGUGGAACAUUACCUCGCUAAAAGCGGUUUCCAAUGUCCUGAUGUUCGAUUGAUUAGACUUGUGGCUGUUGCUACUCAAAAGUUUAUUUCGGAGGUUGCCACCGAUGCACUUCAGCACUGCAAAGCAAGGCAAUCUUCUGUGGUAAAAGAUAAAAGAGAUAAGCUACAAAAGGACAAGCGUCUUGUGUUGACGAUGGAGGACCUAUCAAGAGCUCUAAAAGAGAUCUGUUGACAUACCCUAUAAUACUUGCGAGAACUAUUUCUGCUGUGGAUCCCAGGAUGAUAGGAUGACUUGCAGCUGAGACCUGAGUUGAAUAAGCUAGUCUAUAGUGGAGAAAUUUCUAUGAAUUUCUUGUAAGUUAUAGGAUUUGAGGCUCCAAGAUGGUUUCAAGCUCCCAUAGAAGCUGAGUGGCAGUAAAGGAUUUACAUGGGAUGGGGAGGAUAUACCAACAUUUUUUAUAAAUUUGAAAUUUGGGGAAUUCCUGCAUGGAGUGUAUCAAUUUCUCGAAUUAAGGUUUGAUGGUCCUUGAGGAGGGAGAGGGGGUGUUCUUUGCAAUGAUAACUUAUCAUCACCUGUAUGCGCAGGUGUGUCUGCACACCUUGCCUGAGUGUUAGAGAAUUUUUUUUUCCCACUUGCAACGCUGCUACCCUCUAGGUCUCAGUGAGGAUAUAACUGAAGUUAGUUUUGUGUUGAGGGGAUGUAACUGAAGCAAAAUAUUUUUUUUGUGAGGGGAUAUAACUGAAGCAAGUUUUUUUUUGUGAGGGGAUAUAACUGAAGCAAAUUUUUUUUUUUUUGUGAGGGGAUAUAACUGAAGCAAGUUCAUCUUUUUUACAACAGCGAAGCCUUGAUCCCAAGAUUGAUUUAGGGUCGGCUAACAAGAAUUGUCAUAAGAAAUGGCUAACAAGAAUUGUCAUAAGAAAUGGCGAACAAGAAUUGUCAUAAGAAAUCGGCUAACAAGUUUAUCUUCCCUACCAAUUUGACUGGCCGACAGUACGAGGUGUAUAAAUAUCAAUUUCUUUACUAGACCAUCUUUUUUGUGCUCUAAAUCAAAAACAUUCCCUCCUUAGACUUGAGGAUGUGUUCAAAAAAGGACUCGGGGAAGGGCUAACAAAGGACUCGAGGAAGGGCUAACAAAGGACUCGAGGAAGGGCUUCAGUAUGGAGUGAACCUGAAGCACCAGGAGUAUUUCGCCGACAAUCCUUCGACGGGGAUGGAUCCAGCUCCAAGAGAUGAAUAGCUUGAUGGAGUCAAAAUUGAUGAGAUCUUGUACAAAUCUGCUUAGAUGACAUGCUUUCAGCGUUUGGAACUUGAAUUCUCACGUAUCAAAGAAACUGGUCAUAGCCUGUAGGCUGUAGCUGCUUGCCCAUUAACUCUUUCUAGCCGUCUGUUGUAUUCUGGCCCUUUUAAGUCUUCUAUGGUAUUUCUGUACUACUAGAUAUUUGUCUCAUCAUUUGUUUCUAUGUUUAUUUCGUCCAAAAUAUAAAAGAUUACAUAAAUUUCUCUA